RNAcentral lists this ribosomal RNA (419 nucleotides) under uncultured ammonia-oxidizing beta proteobacterium. RNAcentral's name for it is "bacterial SSU rRNA". It matches the Rfam family "Bacterial small subunit ribosomal RNA", at positions 197 to 597 of the family's 1533-position model. Lineage: Bacteria; Pseudomonadati; Pseudomonadota; Betaproteobacteria. The record is from RNAcentral.
UGGAGGAAAGCAGGGGAUCGCAAGACCUUGCGCUUUUGGAGUGGCCGAUGCCUGGUUAGCUAGUUGGUGGGGUAAGAGCCUACCAAGGCGACGAUCAGUAGUUGGUCUGAGAGGACGACCAGCCACACUGGGACUGAGACACGGCCCAGACUCCUACGGGAGGCAGCAGUGGGGAAUUUUGGACAAUGGGCGAAAGCCUGAUCCAGCAAUGCCGCGUGAGUGAAGGAGGCCUUCGGGUUGUAAAGCUCUUUCAGUCGAGAAGAAAAGGUCGCGACUAAUAAUCGCGACUCAUGACGGUAUCGACAGAAGAAGCACCGGCUAACUACGUGCCAGCAGCCGCGGUAAUACGUAAGGUGCGAGCGUUAAUCGGAAUUACUGGGCGUAAAGGGUGCGCAGGCGGCUUUGUAAGUCAGAUGUGA